GACACAAUGGCCGAGCGGUCCAAGGCGCUUGUCCCGGAUUUUAUAGAUAUCAAAUCCGGUUUCUGGAUGUAGGUUCAAGCCCUGUUCGUAUCG
Botryobasidium botryosum FD-172 SS1 is the source of this 93-nucleotide non-coding RNA. Lineage: Eukaryota; Fungi; Basidiomycota; Agaricomycetes; Cantharellales; Botryobasidiaceae. The record is from the annotation of a GenBank genome assembly.